Molecule: ribosomal RNA, 253 nt
Filed under: uncultured bacterium
Lineage: Bacteria
Description: partial 16S ribosomal RNA
Rfam family: Bacterial small subunit ribosomal RNA
Source: RNAcentral
UACGUAGGGUGCAAGCGUUAAUCGGAAUUACUGGGCGUAAAGAGCGUGUAGGCGGCCAGGUAGGUCCGUUGUGAAAACUCGAGGCUCAACCUCGAGACGUCGAUGGAAACCAUCUGGCUAGAGUCCGGAAGAGGAGAGUGGAAUUCCUGGUGUAGCGGUGAAAUGCGCAGAUAUCAGGAAGAACACCCGUGGCGAAGGCGGCUCUCUGGGACGGUACUGACGCUGAGACGCGAAAGCGUGGGGAGCGAACAGG